GAUGAACGCUGGCGGCGUGCCUAAUACAUGCAAGUCGAGCGAACAGAUAAGGAGCUUGCUCCUUUGACGUUAGCGGCGGACGGGUGAGUAACACGUGGGUAACCUACCUAUAAGACUGGAAUAACUCCGGGAAACCGGGGCUAAUGCCGGAUAACAUUUAGAACCGCAUGGUUCUAAAGUGAAAGAUGGUUUUGCUAUCACUUAUAGAUGGACCCGCGCCGUAUUAGCUAGUUGGUAAGGUAACGGCUUACCAAGGCAACGAUACGUAGCCGACCUGAGAGGGUGAUCGGCCACACUGGAACUGAGACACGGUCCAGACUCCUACGGGAGGCAGCAGUAGGGAAUCUUCCGCAAUGGGCGAAAGCCUGACGGAGCAACGCCGCGUGAGUGAUGAAGGUCUUCGGAUCGUAAAACUCUGUUAUUAGGGAAGAACAAAUGUGUAAGUAACUGUGCACGUCUUGACGGUACCUGAUCAGAAAGCCACGGCUAACUACGUG
RNAcentral lists this ribosomal RNA (497 nucleotides) under uncultured bacterium. RNAcentral's name for it is "partial 16S ribosomal RNA". It matches the Rfam family "Bacterial small subunit ribosomal RNA", at positions 28 to 507 of the family's 1533-position model. The record is from RNAcentral.